This 656-nucleotide ribosomal RNA is filed under the name uncultured bacterium. Its description in RNAcentral is "bacterial SSU rRNA". It matches the Rfam family "Bacterial small subunit ribosomal RNA", at positions 66 to 689 of the family's 1533-position model. The record is from RNAcentral.
ACGGAACUUCUUUAUCACCGAGUGCUUGCACUCACCGAUAAAGAGUUGAGUGGCGAACGGGUGAGUAACACGUGGGCAACCUGCCCAAAAGAGGGGGAUAACACUUGGAAACAGGUGCUAAUACCGCAUAACCAUAGUUACCGCAUGGUAACUAUGUAAAAGGUGGCUAUGCUACCGCUUUUGGAUGGGCCCGCGGCGCAUUAGCUAGUUGGUGGGGUAAAGGCUUACCAAGGCAAUGAUGCGUAGCCGAACUGAGAGGUUGAUCGGCCACAUUGGGACUGAGACACGGCCCAAACUCCUACGGGAGGCAGCAGUAGGGAAUCUUCCACAAUGGGCGAAAGCCUGAUGGAGCAACGCCGCGUGGGUGAAGAAGGUCUUCGGAUCGUAAAACCCUGUUGUUAGAGAAGAAAGUGCGUGAGAGUAACUGUUCACGUUUCGACGGUAUCUAACCAGAAAGCCACGGCUAACUACGUGCCAGCAGCCGCGGUAAUACGUAGGUGGCAAGCGCUAUCCGGAUUUAUUGGGCGUAAAGGGAACGCAGGCGGUCUUUUAAGUCUGAUGUGAAAGCCUUCGGCUUAACCGGAGUAGUGCAUUCGCAACUGGGAGACUUGAGUGCAGAAGAGGAGACCGCAACUCCAUGUGUAGCGGUGAAAUGC